Molecule: ribosomal RNA, 448 nt
Filed under: uncultured bacterium
Lineage: Bacteria
Description: bacterial SSU rRNA
Rfam family: Bacterial small subunit ribosomal RNA
Source: RNAcentral
GCCAGACUCCUACGGGAGGCAGCAGUGGGGAAUAUUGGGCAAUGGGCGCAAGCCUGACCCAGCAACGCCGCGUGAAGGAAGAAGGCUUUCGGGUUGUAAACUUCUUUUCUGGGGGACGAACAAAUGACGGUACCCCAGGAAUAAGCCACGGCUAACUACGUGCCAGCAGCCGCGGUAAUACGUAGGUGGCAAGCGUUAUCCGGAUUUAUUGGGUGUAAAGGGCGUGUAGCCGGGUUGACAAGUCAGAUGUGAAAUCCUGCGGCUUAACCGCAGAACUGCAUUUGAAACUGUUGAUCUUGAGUACUGGAGAGGCAGACGGAAUUCCUAGUGUAGCGGUGAAAUGCGUAGAUAUUAGGAGGAACACCAGUGGCGAAGGCGGUCUGCUGGACAGCAACUGACGGUGAGGCGCGAAAGCGUGGGGAUCAAACAGGAUUAGAUACCCGAGUAC